GACGAACGCUGGCGGCGUGCCUAAUACAUGCAAGUUGAGCGAUGAAGAUUGGUGCUUGCACCAAUUUGAAGAGCAGCGAACGGGUGAGUAACGCGUGGGGAAUCUACCUUUGAGCGGGGGACAACAUUUGGAAACGAAUGCUAAUACCGCAUAACAACUUUAAACAUAAGUUUUAAGUUUGAAAGAUGCAAUUGCAUCACUCAAAGAUGAUCCCGCGUUGUAUUAGCUAGUUGGUGAGGUAAAGGCUCACCAAGGCGAUGAUACAUAGCCGACCUGAGAGGGUGAUCGGCCACAUUGGGACUGAGACACGGCCCAAACUCCUACGGGAGGCAGCAGUAGGGAAUCUUCGGCAAUGGACGAAAGUCUGACCGAGCAACGCCGCGUGAGUGAAGAAGGUUUUCGGAUCGUAAAACUCUGUUGGUAGAGAAGAACGUUGGUGAGAGUGGAAAGCUCAUCAAGUGACGGUAACUACCCAGAAAGGGACGGCUAACUACGUG
This 497-nucleotide ribosomal RNA is filed under the name uncultured bacterium. RNAcentral's name for it is "partial 16S ribosomal RNA". It matches the Rfam family "Bacterial small subunit ribosomal RNA", at positions 28 to 507 of the family's 1533-position model. The record is from RNAcentral.